GAUGAACGCUGGCGGCGUGCCUAAUACAUGCAAGUCGAGCGAACAGAUAAGGAGCUUGCUCCUUUGACGUUAGCGGCGGACGGGUGAGUAACACGUGGGUAACCUACCUAUAAGACUGGGAUAACUUCGGGAAACCGGAGCUAAUACCGGAUAACAUUUUGAACCGCAUGGUUCUAAAGUGAAAGAUGGUUUUGCUAUCACUUAUAGAUGGACCCGCGCCGCAUUAGCUAGUUGGUAAGGUAACGGCUUACCAAGGCGACGAUACGUAGCCGACCUGAGAGGGUGAUCGGCCACACUGGAACUGAGACACGGUCCAGACUCCUACGGGAGGCAGCAGUAGGGAAUCUUCCGCAAUGGGCGAAAGCCUGACGGAGCAACGCCGCGUGAGUGAUGAAGGGUUUCGGCUCGUAAAACUCUGUUAUUAGGGAAGAACAAAUGUGUAAGUAACUGUGCACAUCUUGACGGUACCUAAUCAGAAAGCCACGGCUAACUACGUG
RNAcentral lists this ribosomal RNA (497 nucleotides) under uncultured bacterium. RNAcentral describes it as "partial 16S ribosomal RNA". It matches the Rfam family "Bacterial small subunit ribosomal RNA", at positions 28 to 507 of the family's 1533-position model. The record is from RNAcentral.